UACGAAGGUGGCUAGCGUUGUUCGGAAUCACUGGGCGUAAAGCGCGCGUAGGCGGCAAUACAAGUCAGAGGUGAAAUGCCGGGGCUUAACCCCGGAACUGCCUUUGAAACUGUAUUGCUAGAGUCUCGGAGGGGAUAGCGGAAUUCCUAAUGUAGAGGUGAAAUUCGUAGAUAUUAGGAGGAACACCUGUGGCGAAGGCGGCUAUCUGGACGAGUACUGACGCUGAGGCGCGAAAGCGUGGGGAUCAAACAGG
This 253-nucleotide ribosomal RNA is filed under the name uncultured bacterium. RNAcentral describes it as "partial 16S ribosomal RNA". It matches the Rfam family "Bacterial small subunit ribosomal RNA", at positions 524 to 776 of the family's 1533-position model. The record is from RNAcentral.